CAUAGGUUAAUGAGGCGAACCGGGGGAACUGAAACAUCUAAGUACCCCGAGGAAAAGAAAUCAACCGAGAUUCCCCCAGUAGCGGCGAGCGAACGGGGAGGAGCCCAGAGCCUGAAUCAGUGUGUGUGUUAGUGGAAGCGUCUGGAAAGGCGCGCGAUACAGGGUGACAGCCCCGUACACAAAAAUGCACAUAUUGUGAGCUCGAUGAGUAGGGCGGGACACGUGGUAUCCUGUCUGAAUAUGGGGGGACCAUCCUCCAAGGCUAAAUACUCCUGACUGACCGAUAGUGAACCAGUACCGUGAGGGAAAGGCGAAAAGAACCCCGGCGAGGGGAGUGAAAAAGAACCUGAAACCGUGUACGUACAAGCAGUGGGAGCCUCUUUAUGGGGUGACUGCGUACCUUUUGUAUAAUGGGUCAGCGACUUAUAUUCUGUAGCAAGGUUAACCGAAUAGGGGAGCCGAAGGGAAACCGAGUCUUAACUGGGCGUUAAGUUGCAGGGUAUAGACCCGAAACCCGGUGAUCUAGCCAUGGGCAGGUUGAAGGUUGGGUAACACUAACUGGAGGACCGAACCGACUAAUGUUGAAAAAUUAGCGGAUGACUUGUGGCUGGGGGUGAAAGGCCAAUCAAACCGGGAGAUAGCUGGUUCUCCCCGAAAGCUAUUUAGGUAGCGCCUCGUGAAUUCAUCUCCGGGGGUAGAGCACUGUUUCGGCAAGGGGGUCAUCCCGACUUACCAACCCGAUGCAAACUGCGAAUACCGGAGAAUGUUAUCACGGGAGACACACGGCGGGUGCUAACGUCCGUCGUGAAGAGGGAAACAACCCAGACCGCCAGCUAAGGUCCCAAAGUCAUGGUUAAGUGGGAAACGAUGUGGGAAGGCCCAGACAGCCAGGAUGUUGGCUUAGAAGCAGCCAUCAUUUAAAGAAAGCGUAAUAGCUCACUGGUCGAGUCGGCCUGCGCGGAAGAUGUAACGGGGCUAAACCAUGCACCGAAGCUGCGGCAGCGACACUAUGUGUUGUUGGGUAGGGGAGCGUUCUGUAAGCCUGUGAAGGUGGCCUGUGAGGGUUGCUGGAGGUAUCAGAAGUGCGAAUGCUGACAUAAGUAACGAUAAAGCGGGUGAAAAGCCCGCUCGCCGGAAGACCAAGGGUUCCUGUCCAACGUUAAUCGGGGCAGGGUGAGUCGACCCCUAAGGCGAGGCCGAAAGGCGUAGUCGAUGGGAAACAGGUUAAUAUUCCUGUACUUGGUGUUACUGCGAAGGGGGGACGGAGAAGGCUAUGUUGGCCGGGCGACGGUUGUCCCGGUUUAAGCGUGUAGGCUGGUUUUCCAGGCAAAUCCGGAAAACCAAGGCUGAGGCGUGAUGACGAGGCACUACGGUGCUGAAGCGACAAAUGCCCUGCUUCCAGGAAAAGCCUCUAAGCAUCAGGUAACAUCAAAUCGUACCCCAAACCGACACAGGUGGUCAGGUAGAGAAUACCAAGGCGCUUGAGAGAACUCGGGUGAAGGAACUAGGCAAAAUGGUGCCGUAACUUCGGGAGAAGGCACGCUGAUAUGUAGGUGAAGCGACUUGCUCGUGGAGCUGAAAUCAGUCGAAGAUACCAGCUGGCUGCAACUGUUUAUUAAAAACACAGCACUGUGCAAACACGA
This 1643-nucleotide ribosomal RNA is filed under the name Escherichia coli. Its description in RNAcentral is "partial 23S ribosomal RNA". It matches the Rfam family "Bacterial large subunit ribosomal RNA", at positions 165 to 1834 of the family's 2925-position model. The record is from RNAcentral. Lineage: Bacteria; Pseudomonadati; Pseudomonadota; Gammaproteobacteria; Enterobacterales; Enterobacteriaceae.